UAAUUUAAAGCUUAAAUAGUAAAGUAUUUCAUUUACAUUGAAAAGAAAUUUGUGCAAAUCAAUUUAAAUUAA
This 72-nucleotide transfer RNA is filed under the name Armigeres subalbatus. RNAcentral's name for it is "tRNA-Val". It matches the Rfam family "tRNA". Rfam says of the family: Transfer RNA (tRNA) molecules are approximately 80 nucleotides in length. Their secondary structure includes four short double-helical elements and three loops (D, anti-codon, and T loops). The record is from RNAcentral. Lineage: Eukaryota; Metazoa; Arthropoda; Insecta; Diptera; Culicidae. RNAcentral also lists the same sequence under 3 other names.